Molecule: ribosomal RNA, 253 nt
Filed under: uncultured bacterium
Lineage: Bacteria
Description: partial 16S ribosomal RNA
Rfam family: Bacterial small subunit ribosomal RNA
Source: RNAcentral
UACGAAAGGGGCUAGCGUUGUUCGGAAUUACUGGGCGUAAAGCGCACGUAGGCGGCCUUGCACGUUGGGGGUGAAAUCCCGGGGCUCAACUCCGGAACUGCCUUCAAGACUGCAAAGCUAGAGGACGCGAGAGGUUAGCGGAAUUCCGAGUGUAGAGGUGAAAUUCGUAGAUAUUCGGAAGAACACCAGUGGCGAAGGCGGCUAACUGGCGCGUUUCUGACGCUGAGGUGCGAAAGCGUGGGGAGCAAACACG